GACGAACGCUGGCGGCGUGCUUAACACAUGCAAGUUGAACGGAAAGGCCUGUCCUUCCUUGUGUUGGACGGGUACUCGAGUGGCGAACGGGUGAGUAACACGUGAGUGAUCUGCCCCCAACUUGGGUAUAAGCCUGGGAAACUGGGUCUAAUUCCCGAUAGGACUGCAGGGUGGUGCCUGUGGUGGAAAACGAUUUUCUAGUGGUUGGGGAUGAGCUCGCGGCCUAUCAGCUUGUUGGUGGGGUAAUGGCCUACCAAGGCGGCGACGGGUAGCCGGCCUGAGAGGGUGGACGGCCACAUUGGGACUGAGAUACGGCCCAGACUCCUACGGGAGGCAGCAGUGGGGAAUAUUGCACAAUGGGCGGAAGCCUGAUGCAGCGACGCCGCGUGGGGGAUGACGGCCUUCGGGUUGUAAACUCCUUUCGACCGCGAGGAAGCCGCCUGGUUGGAAGGGUGGUGACGGUAGUGGUAGAAGAAGCACCGGCUAACUACGUG
Molecule: ribosomal RNA, 494 nt
Filed under: uncultured bacterium
Lineage: Bacteria
Description: partial 16S ribosomal RNA
Rfam family: Bacterial small subunit ribosomal RNA
Source: RNAcentral